UAAACUAGGAUUAGAUACCCUAUUAUUUUAAAUGUAAAUUUUAAAUACUGAAUUAGUAUUAGUUAUGUUCUUGAAAAUUAAAAAAUUUGGCGGUAUUUUAGUCUUUUCAGAGGAACCUGUCCUGUAAUUGAUAGUCCACGAUAUAGGGUACUUUAUUUAUUAGUUUACAUAUCGUCGUAGUUAGAAUAUUUUAAAAGAAUAUAAAUAUUCUAGAUUUUAAAUUAAAAAGUAAAUCAGAUCAAGGUGUAGUUUAUAAUAAAGGAGAGAUGGGUUACAUUAAAUUUAUUUAAGGAUAAUUUUUAGGAUAAAAAUUUGAAUUUGGAUUUGAAAGUAAUUUUAUUUAGUUAAUUAAAAUGAUUUUAGCUCUAGAAUAUGUACACAUCGCCCGUCGCUCUUAA
RNAcentral lists this ribosomal RNA (398 nucleotides) under Spermophagus cicatricosus. Its description in RNAcentral is "partial 12S ribosomal RNA". The record is from RNAcentral. Lineage: Eukaryota; Metazoa; Arthropoda; Insecta; Coleoptera; Chrysomelidae.